RNAcentral lists this ribosomal RNA (271 nucleotides) under uncultured archaeon. RNAcentral's name for it is "partial 16S ribosomal RNA". It matches the Rfam family "Archaeal small subunit ribosomal RNA", at positions 477 to 747 of the family's 1478-position model. The record is from RNAcentral.
CGGCGCCACGAGUGGUAACCACGUUUAUUGGGCCUAAAGCGUCCGUAGCCGGUUUGAUAAAUCUUUUGUGAAAUUGUACAGCUUAACUGUACAGCGUGCAAGAGACACUGUCAAACUUGAGACCGGGAGGAGUCAGAAGUAUUCCAGAGGGAGCGGUAAAAUGUUAUAAUCUCUGGAGGACUACCUGUGGCGAAGGCGUCUGACCAGAACGGAUCUGACGGUGAGGGACGAAAGCUAGGGGAGCGAACCGGAUUAGAGACCCGAGUAGUCC